Molecule: ribosomal RNA, 255 nt
Filed under: Leptocylindrus danicus
Lineage: Eukaryota; Bacillariophyta; Leptocylindrophyceae; Leptocylindrales; Leptocylindraceae
Description: partial Eukaryotic small subunit ribosomal RNA
Rfam family: Eukaryotic small subunit ribosomal RNA
Source: RNAcentral
AAAUUAGAGUGUUCAAAGCAGGCCAUAGGCCCGAAUAUAUUAGCAUGGAAUAACAGAAUAGGACGUGCGGUUCUAUUUUGUUGGUUUCUAGAACUGCCGUAAUGAUUAAAAGGGACAGCCGGGGGCAUUAGUAUUUGCACGCUAGAGGUGAAAUUCUUGGAUUGUGCAAAGACUUCCUACUGCGAAAGCAUUUGCCAAGAAUGUUUUCAUUAAUCAAGAACGAAGGUUAGGGUAUCGAAAACGAUUAGAUACCGU